This 74-nucleotide transfer RNA is filed under the name Spirochaetes bacterium GWE1_32_154. RNAcentral describes it as "tRNA-Met". It matches the Rfam family "tRNA". Rfam says of the family: Transfer RNA (tRNA) molecules are approximately 80 nucleotides in length. Their secondary structure includes four short double-helical elements and three loops (D, anti-codon, and T loops). RNAcentral also lists the same sequence under 4 other names. Lineage: Bacteria; Pseudomonadati; Spirochaetota. The record is from RNAcentral.
GGCGAUGUAGCUCAGCUGGUUAGAGCACUCGGCUCAUAUCCGAGGGGUCAUUGGUUCAAAUCCGAUCAUCGCUA